Molecule: ribosomal RNA, 253 nt
Filed under: uncultured bacterium
Lineage: Bacteria
Description: partial 16S ribosomal RNA
Rfam family: Bacterial small subunit ribosomal RNA
Source: RNAcentral
UACGAAGGGGGCUAGCGUUGCUCGGAAUUACUGGGCGUAAAGCGUGCGUAGUCGGUUAUCUAAGUCGGGUGUGAAAUCCCCGGGCUCAACCUGGGAAUUGCAUUCGAUACUGGAUAGCUAGAGUUCGGCAGAGGGAAGCGGAAUUUCGGGUGUAGCGGUGAAAUGCGUAGAUAUCCGAAGGAACAUCAGUGGCGAAAGCGGCUUCCUGGACCAGAACUGACGAUCAGGCACGAAAGCGUGGGGAGCAAACAGG